This 399-nucleotide ribosomal RNA is filed under the name uncultured bacterium. RNAcentral describes it as "bacterial SSU rRNA". It matches the Rfam family "Bacterial small subunit ribosomal RNA", at positions 93 to 524 of the family's 1533-position model. The record is from RNAcentral.
GAGUGGCGAACGGGUGAGUAACACGUGACUAACCUACCCUCGAGUGGGGAAUAACUCCGGGAAACCGGGGCUAAUACCGCAUAACAUCGCAAGAUCAAAGCAGCAAUGCGCUUGAGGAGGGGGUCGCGGCUGAUUAGCUAGUUGGCGGGGUAACGGCCCACCAAGGCGAAGAUCGGUAUCCGGCCUGAGAGGGCGCACGGACACACUGGAACUGAAACACGGUCCAUACUCCUACGGGAGGCAGCAGUGGGGAAUUUUGCGCAAUGGGGGAAACCCUGACGCAGCAACGCCGCGUGGAGGAUGAAGCCCUUUGGGGCGUAAACUCCUUUCGACUCGGACGAUGAUGACGGUACGAGUGGAAGAAGCACCGGCUAACUCUGUGCCAGCAGCCGCGGUAAU